RNAcentral lists this ribosomal RNA (510 nucleotides) under uncultured bacterium. RNAcentral's name for it is "bacterial SSU rRNA". It matches the Rfam family "Bacterial small subunit ribosomal RNA", at positions 15 to 518 of the family's 1533-position model. The record is from RNAcentral.
GAUUAUGGCUCAGGAUGAACGCUAGCGACAGGCUUAACACAUGCAAGUCGAGGGGCAGCACGGGAGUAGCAAUACUUGGUGGCGACCGGCGCACGGGUGAGUAACGCGUAUGCAACCUACCUAUCAGAGGGGAAUAACCCGGCGAAAGUCGGACUAAUACCGCAUAAAACAGGGGCACCGCAUGGUGAUAUUUGUUAAAGAAAUUCGCUGAUAGAUGGGCAUGCGUUCCAUUAGGUAGUUGGUGAGGUAACGGCUCACCAAGCCGACGAUGGAUAGGGGAACUGAGAGGUUGGUCCCCCACACUGGUACUGAGACACGGACCAGACUCCUACGGGAGGCAGCAGUGAGGAAUAUUGGUCAAUGGGCGGGAGCCUGAACCAGCCAAGUCGCGUGAAGGAAGAAGGAUCUAUGGUUCGUAAACUUCUUUUGCAGGGGAAUAAAGUGCAGGACGUGUCCUGUUUUGUAUGUACCCUGAGAAUAAGGAUCGGCUAACUCCGUGCCAGCCGCAGC